GCUGUCACAGGGCCUCCUCCCUUGCGUCCAAAUACCCGGCCGUUGAGCGCUCGUGACGGCCGCGCAGUCGCAGAGACACAGCCUGCUUUCCACGCUUGGCAAGUACCAGCAUCUUCUCCGCACUUUGGUGUCGCUUGUUUGUCGAGCCUGCUACAGAGCGCGACUCAACUGUUCAUCUCUCUUUACUGUCCAGAAUGAAGACAUUCAGUCUCAAGACAUUAAGUAACUUGCUCCAAGAAUUAUUAAUGGAAACCCUGAAGAUCCUGUUGCCAAGCUGAGGACUCACUAUAGUGCAUCUACUCUUAGUAUCAAUGGAAAUACAAUGUAAGAAAGAGAGGGACAAUUGCCAUAAAAGGACAAGAAUCUUAAUAUCUGCUUAAGCAUUGACUAAAAUGAGCUAUGAGACAGAAAGAUAAUGAACGAAAUCAUUACUGAAUCAGUAUGGUAGAUGAAGAGUCUGAGAAGAAGAAAAGAAUAUUUUACAACCUCAUAAGAGAAAGCUAUAAAACUAGUGACUGAAUAGGUGAAUUAGACAAGAAUGCUGAGAAAUUAAAGGAAACCCCAAGAAUUA
Molecule: long non-coding RNA, 571 nt
Organism: Galeopterus variegatus (Sunda flying lemur)
Lineage: Eukaryota; Metazoa; Chordata; Mammalia; Dermoptera; Cynocephalidae
Exons: 2
Source: RefSeq, a predicted model, not a curated record